Molecule: transfer RNA, 75 nt
Filed under: Acidobacteriota bacterium
Lineage: Bacteria; Pseudomonadati; Acidobacteriota
Description: tRNA-Cys
Rfam family: tRNA
About the family: Transfer RNA (tRNA) molecules are approximately 80 nucleotides in length. Their secondary structure includes four short double-helical elements and three loops (D, anti-codon, and T loops).
Source: RNAcentral
GGCGCGGUACCCAAGUGGCAAGGGAGAGGUCUGCAAAACCUUCACUCGUGGGUUCGAUUCCCACCCGCGCCUCCA